UACGUAGGUGGCAAGCGUUGUCCGGAAUUAUUGGGCGUAAAGGGCGCGUAGGCGGCACCUUAAGUCAGAUGUGAAACCCCGGGGCUCAACUCCGGACGUGCAUUUGAAACUGGGGAGCUAGAGUGCAGGAGAGGUAAGUGGAAUUCCUAGUGUAGCGGUGAAAUGCGUAGAUAUUAGGAGGAACACCAGUGGCGAAGGCGACUUACUGGACUGUAACUGACGCUGAGGCGCGAAAGCGUGGGGAGCAAACAGG
This 253-nucleotide ribosomal RNA is filed under the name uncultured bacterium. RNAcentral describes it as "partial 16S ribosomal RNA". It matches the Rfam family "Bacterial small subunit ribosomal RNA", at positions 524 to 776 of the family's 1533-position model. The record is from RNAcentral.